GUCCUUGUAGUAUAAACAUUACAUUGGUCUUGUAAACCAACAAUGAAGGAUCCAACCUCCCUAGGACC
RNAcentral lists this transfer RNA (68 nucleotides) under Tarsius dentatus (Dian's tarsier). Its description in RNAcentral is "tRNA-Thr". It matches the Rfam family "tRNA". Rfam says of the family: Transfer RNA (tRNA) molecules are approximately 80 nucleotides in length. Their secondary structure includes four short double-helical elements and three loops (D, anti-codon, and T loops). RNAcentral also lists the same sequence under 2 other names. The record is from RNAcentral. Lineage: Eukaryota; Metazoa; Chordata; Mammalia; Primates; Tarsiidae.